This 76-nucleotide transfer RNA is filed under the name Actinomycetota bacterium. RNAcentral's name for it is "tRNA-Val". It matches the Rfam family "tRNA". Rfam says of the family: Transfer RNA (tRNA) molecules are approximately 80 nucleotides in length. Their secondary structure includes four short double-helical elements and three loops (D, anti-codon, and T loops). Lineage: Bacteria; Bacillati; Actinomycetota. RNAcentral also lists the same sequence under 1 other name. The record is from RNAcentral.
GGGGCGUUAGCUCAGUUGGUAGAGCGCAUGCUCGACAAGCAUGAGGUCAGUGGUUCGAGCCCACUACGCCCCACCA